RNAcentral lists this ribosomal RNA (433 nucleotides) under uncultured bacterium. RNAcentral's name for it is "partial 16S ribosomal RNA". It matches the Rfam family "Bacterial small subunit ribosomal RNA", at positions 29 to 507 of the family's 1533-position model. The record is from RNAcentral.
AACGAACGCUGGCGGCAUGCCUAACACAUGCAAGUCGAACGAGACCUUCGGGUCUAGUGGCGAACGGGUGCGUAACGCGUGGGAACCUGCCCUUAGGUUCGGAAUAACUCCCCGAAAGGGGUGCUAAUACCGGAUAAUGUCUUCGGACCAAAGAUUUAUCGCCUUUGGAUGGGCCCGCGUUGGAUUAGCUAGUUGGUAGGGUAAAAGCCUACCAAGGCGACGAUCCAUAGCUGGUCUGAGAGGAUGAUCAGCCACACUGGGACUGAGACACGGCCCAGACUCCUACGGGAAGCAGCAGUGGGGAAUAUUGGACAAUGGGCGAAAGCCUGAUCCAGCAAUGCCGCGUGAGUGAUGAAGGCCUUAGGGUUGUAAAGCUCUUUUACCCGGGAUGAUAAUGACAGUACCGGGAGAAUAAGCUCCGGCUAACUCCGUG